This 73-nucleotide transfer RNA is filed under the name Pteropus alecto (black flying fox). It matches the Rfam family "tRNA". From Rfam's summary of the family: Transfer RNA (tRNA) molecules are approximately 80 nucleotides in length. Their secondary structure includes four short double-helical elements and three loops (D, anti-codon, and T loops). The record is from Rfam by way of RNAcentral. Lineage: Eukaryota; Metazoa; Chordata; Mammalia; Chiroptera; Pteropodidae.
GGUUCCAUAGUGUAGCAGUUAGCAUGUCUGCUUUACAUGCAGAAGGUCCUGGGUUCAUGUUCCAGUGGAGCCA